RNAcentral lists this ribosomal RNA (253 nucleotides) under uncultured bacterium. RNAcentral describes it as "partial 16S ribosomal RNA". It matches the Rfam family "Bacterial small subunit ribosomal RNA", at positions 524 to 776 of the family's 1533-position model. The record is from RNAcentral.
UACGUAGGGACCAAGCGUUGUUCGGAUUUACUGGGCGUAAAGGGUGCGUAGGCGGCGGGGAAAGUCAGAUGUGAAAUCCGGAGGCUCAACCUCCGAAUUGCAUCCGAUACUCCCUCGCUAGAGAUUUGUAGAGGAGCUUGGAAUUCUCGGUGUAGCAGUGAAAUGCGUAGAUAUCGAGAAGAACGCUCGCAGCGAAAGCGAAGCUCUGGGCAAAUUCUGACGCUGAUGCACGAAGGCUAGGGGAGCAAACGGG